CCUGGGUGCACCACACUGCGGGAGCCUCCAAGUGUUCACCUAUCCAGAAGCUCCUCUGAAGGCUCUCCUUUUGGGUUGUUAUGGAGCCUUCAUUACAUAUGCAUGAUUGCUUAUAUUACUGGUCAUUGGUUACACUUUUAGAUAGGCUAAGUGGGUUUUUUGUUUGUUUGUUUGUUUUUGGUGAGACGAAGUCUCACUCUGUCACCCAGGCUGGAGUGCAAUGGCGCGAUCUCGGCUCAUUGCAACCUCCGCCUCCCGGGUUCAGGCCCCGCCCCUGCCCCGCCCAUCCUAUGCUCUCAGUCACUCCCGGCCUUUCCGCCCGCAACCCGCCCCUUUGCCCCGGUCCGCCCAGGCCCCGCCCCCAGCCGCCGGCGCCGUUUACUGCGCGGGCAGUUUCUUGCAAACCCGGAAGCAGAUCUCUUGGAGUGAAGGCUGUUCCUCGCCGCUAAAGGGAAGAGCUUUCCAACAGGCCCACCCACCUGUCUUGAGUCCUGCGAUCUCAACUCAGAGUUUCUUAGCCCUGCAUCUUUUCUGGUGCAGUGGGCGGCAGAGGAUCAUCUUUCCACAGGGUAGAACCCUGGAAGAAGAGGAAGAGGAAAGCAGCAAAGGAGUCAGAUGGCUCUUCCGCAGUUAGGUGACCUCGUGUCAAUUUACUUUUGGUGCUGUUUAGGCAGAACAACUCAAACACCAUGUUUCCCUCUGCUCUCCCACCAACACCACAAUCCACACAGAAGACUUCUGUGGCCACAUGCGAGGGAUUUCUCCCCACCAACAAACAGCGAGCAACCAGUUCAGUUCCAACACUGUCUGCAUGAAGAUAGUGUCAGAUCUCACAGAUUGAUGGCUCAGUUCCCAGUUGCACGUCCAGGCCUCUGAAACUUCUGACCGACCAACCUCAAGUCGAGGUUCCCAUGAACCCUUCUUUAAUUUGCUGGAGCAACUCUUACAGGUCAGAGAAACACUGAGUUUUACAGGUUGAUUAUAAAUACUAUUACAGAAGAUACCAGUGAAGAGAUGCAGAAGGUGAGGUAUGGGGAAAGGGGUGCGGAGCUUCCCUGCCCUCCCUGGGUAUGCCGUCCUCCAGGAACCUCCACGUGUCAGCCAUUUGGAAGCUCCCUGAACCCACUGCACUCCAGCCUGGGUGACAAAGCAAAACUCCAUCUCCAAAAAAACAACAAAAAGAAAUUUACAUAUUUCUACAAAAGUCAUAGCCACUUUUAUCUUUAUUUUCUCUUUUGAUUCUACCCAAAUUUCCAGUGACAAAGUCCCGAAUUCAGUGCUGAAAUUAGGCUUUGACAUGUGCUUUCUUCUAUAAGUGUGACAUUGUAAUAAAAGAAGUGAUUUGUUGUCCUUGAUAAUCUCAUUUGGCUCCUGUGUAGUUCUUUGAGAUAAUUCCCUUGCCAGCUGGUUGUUUUACAAAUGUGUGCAAACUAUAUCAUACUACUUUAUGCAAACUAUAUUAUACUACUUUAUGCAAACUAUAUUAUACUACUUUAUGCAAAGAGACAGACACUACUUUUUACUAUAUCUUUCUAGGACUUUUUAUUCUGUUUUCAGUUUAAAUUUGCUUACCCCUGAGAUUUUAAAGUCUCUUUCUUCAUAAAACACUAUUUGAACUGGAAUAUAUUAACACAUUCUGUGGCCAGUUUUGCUCGACAUCAUUUUACCCUUCAUUCUCCGACAUUCUCUUAUUUCUUGUACUUCUUUAUUUAUUUGCAUUUGUUUAUUUUUCCUUUUAUUAUUACUUUUACUUUUUUGUAGAAACAAAGUCUUGCUAUGUUGCCCAGGCUGGUCUCAAACUCCUGGGUUCAAACAAUCUGCCUGCCUUGGCCCCCCAAAGUGCUGGGACUACAGGCAUGAACCACCAUGCCCGGCCAACUUCUUUAGUUUUUAAACCUCAUUUUCAGAGUAGUUGAGAGGAUUUCAGCCACAGUGUAGCAUCUUAAAGACUGGGAAAAUUCUUUCCUAACCAGUUUAAUGACCAAGAAACUAUUCAGACCAAUCUACAUGUCAGUCAUUCACAGUAGAAUGGUAAACCAAAGAGCUGUGGGCAGCUGCUGAUACAUGUUGCACAAAAGGAUGUUGGGAAUCUCUUAGACAUUGGUACACGUUGUUACAUCAAUGAAUUCUUCCAAAAGGACCUCCCUUUCAGGACCUUGGACAGAUACACGGACUCCUUUGUGCUGAUCUCAAGACACUGAGAUUCUAAAACGAAAACUCUGAAGGCGCUUGACUAUAUAGCCUUCCUUAAUGCUUUAGCAUUCCAAACCGCCUACUUACUCUCUUUGGAAGAUUAUUCAGGGCUUUGUGAGCUGCUCUUUCAGGUAGCUUGCCUGUUGCUUAACUGAUUGCUUAGGUUUAAUUUUAAUUCCUAGACACCUGGGUACCGGUACUUGCUCUGUCAUUUUUAGCUCUUUGACCUGAGACAAGUUUCUCAGCAUGUCUGUGAAACAGCUGUCCCCACAGUAAAAUGGGAGCAGAUCUUUCUCUCCUGGGCUACAGUGUUGUACGUAUUUGUAUACAUAAAGGAUUUCAAAUGCUACCUCGCAUACGGACCUUGUUCUUAAAUCCCUAGCAUUGCUAUUGCUCUCAUCAUAGUUUUAAGGCUCCGACUUGUUUUUUCUUCAAAGCCACUGUGGAUGUUGUCACCCUUGAAGACACCACUCAUUCUCUAGGUCAUCUAGAUGCUGAAUAUUACUUGAUGUAUCAGACAUAAUAUCUAUCCA
Molecule: long non-coding RNA, 2726 nt
Filed under: Rhinopithecus bieti (black snub-nosed monkey)
Lineage: Eukaryota; Metazoa; Chordata; Mammalia; Primates; Cercopithecidae
Description: lncRNA (ENSRBIG00000046037.1)
Source: RNAcentral